UACGGAGGGUGCAAGCGUUAUCCGGAUUCACUGGGUUUAAAGGGUGCGUAGGCGGGUAGGUAAGUCCGUGGUGAAAUCUCUGAGCUUAACUCAGAAACUGCCAUGGAUACUAUUUGCCUUGAAUAUUGUGGAGGUGAGCGGAAUAUGUCAUGUAGCGGUGAAAUGCUUAGAUAUGACAUAGAACACCAAUUGCGAAGGCAGCUCACUACACAAAUGAUUGACGCUGAGGCACGAAAGCGUGGGGAUCAAACAGG
RNAcentral lists this ribosomal RNA (254 nucleotides) under uncultured bacterium. RNAcentral's name for it is "partial 16S ribosomal RNA". It matches the Rfam family "Bacterial small subunit ribosomal RNA", at positions 524 to 776 of the family's 1533-position model. The record is from RNAcentral.